This 487-nucleotide ribosomal RNA is filed under the name Streptococcus parasanguinis. RNAcentral describes it as "bacterial SSU rRNA". It matches the Rfam family "Bacterial small subunit ribosomal RNA", at positions 28 to 498 of the family's 1533-position model. The record is from RNAcentral. Lineage: Bacteria; Bacillati; Bacillota; Bacilli; Lactobacillales; Streptococcaceae.
GAUGAACGCUGGCGGCGUGCCUAAUACAUGCAAGUAGAACGCUGAAGCUUGGUGCUUGCACCGAGCGGAGGAGUUGCGAACGGGUGAGUAACGCGUAGGUAACCUGCCUCUUAGCGGGGGAUAACUAUUGGAAACGAUAGCUAAUACCGCAUAAAAGUCGACAUUGCAUGAUGUUGACUUGAAAGGUGCAACUGCAUCACUAAGAGAUGGACCUGCGUUGUAUUAGCUAGUUGGUGAGGUAACGGCUCACCAAGGCGACGAUACAUAGCCGACCUGAGAGGGUGAUCGGCCACACUGGGACUGAGACACGGCCCAGACUCCUACGGGAGGCAGCAGUAGGGAAUCUUCGGCAAUGGACGGAAGUCUGACCGAGCAACGCCGCGUGAGUGAAGAAGGUUUUCGGAUCGUAAGGCUCUGUUGUAAGAGAAGAACGAGUGUGAGAGUGGAAAGUUCACACUGUGACGGUAACUUACCAGAAAGGACGGCU